GCAGUAGCCGCGGUAAUACAGAGGGUGCGAGCGUUAAUCGGAUUUACUGGGCGUAAAGCGUGCGUAGGCGGCUUUUUAAGUCGGAUGUGAAAUCCCUGAGCUUAACUUAGGAAUUGCAUUCGAUACUGGGAAGCUAGAGUAUGGGAGAGGAUGGUAGAAUUCCAGGUGUAGCGGUGAAAUGCGUAGAGAUCUGGAGGAAUACCGAUGGCGAAGGCAGCCAUCUGGCCUAAUACUGACGCUGAGGUACGAAAGCAUGGGGAGCAAACAGGAUUAGAUACCCGGGUAGUCCCUGUCUCUUAUAC
This 302-nucleotide ribosomal RNA is filed under the name uncultured bacterium. RNAcentral's name for it is "partial 16S ribosomal RNA". It matches the Rfam family "Bacterial small subunit ribosomal RNA", at positions 508 to 807 of the family's 1533-position model. The record is from RNAcentral.